This is a long non-coding RNA of Pan troglodytes (chimpanzee), 1250 nucleotides long. RefSeq lists it as uncharacterized. The record is from RefSeq and is a predicted model, not a curated record. The transcript is spliced from 4 exons. NCBI's taxonomy places the organism in Eukaryota, Metazoa, Chordata, Mammalia, Primates, Hominidae.
AAAAAAUUUUAAAGUUCACAGAACAAUCAUAAGGAAAUUAUAAUUUUUCAUCAAUUGUUAAGAUGCUUCACCUAGUUUCAGUUUGCAUAAUAAUUUUUGAAUUCCCACUAUACCCUUCAGAUAGAGACUGCAUGUGUAUAUAAAACUUAGUCUUACUUGCAUGUACACCUGAGGACACUCAUGCUGGUUUUGAAGAAUCGAGCUGCUAAGUUAUGGACUGCCAAUGGAGAAGGCCACAUGAAAGGGAACUGUGAGCCUCAACUCUACUGCAAGGAACUGAAUUCUGCCAACAACUAAGUUAGCAUGAAAGUAAACCCAAGCUCCAAAUGAGACCACAACCCCAACAGACACCUUGGCUGCAGCCUGUCACACCCCAAAUUGAACAGCCAGGUUACCUAUGGCUGUAAAGUUGACCCAUGGACAUGGAGAAACUUUCUUUCUUCUAAUGAUGUGCACUUACUCAUAGACAGAAGCCAGAUUCAGCUGGCUUCCCUAGGGAGGAAGCUCAAAAGCGCUUCAGUGUAUCUCACCAGGAGAUAGCUGGAAACACAGCUUAUAUUACCAAAACUUUCACUAGAAUGUCAAUUCUUCAGAUAUGAACAGACAACUUUAAAAAACUGAGGUUGGAUUUAUGAAACCAGUAAAAGCCCCUUGAAGAAGCUGAGCUGGUACCUUGAAUACAAGUUUCCUGGCCUUGUGGAGAUUCAAGAAUGUGACUUUCUGACCUGCCUUGGGACCUCAAAAUAUUUUGUGAGCCUAAAAGAGAGAAGAAUUCAGCUAGCUUCUACAAGUAAAGUUUGAUGCAUUUUGCUUUGGCAUCCAGGCUGGAGUGCAAUGGCACGAUCUCAGCUCACUCAGCUCAACCUCCGCCUCCCAGGUUCAAGCGAUUCUCCUACCUCAGCCUCCCGGGUGAGUGGGAUUACAGGCGUCAGCCACCAUGCCCAGCUAAUUUUUGUAUUUUUAGUAGAGAUGGGGUUUCACCACUUUGGCCAGGCUGGUCUUGAACUCCUGACCGCAGAGGAUCCGCCUGCCUCGGCCUCCCAAAAUUCACCGGGCCGGACUAAAGCCUUUUAAAUAAACGUACACUCCUGCUCUGACACUUGCCUUGGUCUCUUUUACUGCCUUAUGCUCCUCAGUCAGAUUCUUUCUUCUGAGAAGGCAAGAAUUGAGGUUGCUGCAGACCCAUACAGAUUUGGCACCAAUAAGUUAAAUAUCUUUGACUGGUAACAAGCCUAUAUGAACAAUCACUA